AAAGUCGGACUAAUACCGCAUGAAGCAGGGGCCCCGNAUGGGGAUAUUUGCUAAAGAUUCAUCGCUGAUAGAUAGGGCAUGCGUUCCAUUAGGCAGUUGGCGGGGUAACGGCCCACCAAACCGACGAUGGAUAGGGGUUCUGAGAGGAAGGUCCCCCCACAUUGGUACUGAGACACGGUCCAAACUCCUACGGGAGGCAGCAGUGAGGAAUAUUGGUCAAUGGACGAGAGUCUGAACCAGCCAAGUAGCGUGCAGGAUGACGGCCCUAUGGGUUGUAAACUGCUUUUAUAAGGGAAUAAAGUGAGUCUCGUGAGACUUUUUGCAUGUACCUUAUGAAUAAGGACCGGCUAAUUCCGUG
This 358-nucleotide ribosomal RNA is filed under the name uncultured bacterium. RNAcentral describes it as "bacterial SSU rRNA". It matches the Rfam family "Bacterial small subunit ribosomal RNA", at positions 154 to 507 of the family's 1533-position model. The record is from RNAcentral.